This 730-nucleotide ribosomal RNA is filed under the name uncultured Arthrobacter sp. RNAcentral's name for it is "bacterial SSU rRNA". It matches the Rfam family "Bacterial small subunit ribosomal RNA", at positions 66 to 801 of the family's 1533-position model. Lineage: Bacteria; Bacillati; Actinomycetota; Actinomycetes; Micrococcales; Micrococcaceae. The record is from RNAcentral.
ACGAUGACCCGCUUGCGGGGGAUUAGUGGCGAACGGGUGAGUAACACGUGAGUAACCUGCCCUUAACUCUGGGAUAAGCCUUGGAAACGGGGUCUAAUACUGGAUAUUGACUUUACCUCGCAUGGGGUUUUGUUGAAAGAUUUAUUGGUUUUGGAUGGACUCGCGGCCUAUCAGCUUGUUGGUGAGGUAAUGGCUCACCAAGGCGACGACGGGUAGCCGGCCUGAGAGGGUGACCGGCCACACUGGGACUGAGACACGGCCCAGACUCCUACGGGAGGCAGCAGUGGGGAAUAUUGCACAAUGGGCGAAAGCCUGAUGCAGCGACGCCGCGUGAGGGAUGACGGCCUUCGGGUUGUAAACCUCUUUCAGUAGGGAACAAGGCCAGCAUUUUUGUUGGUUGAGGGUACUUGCAGAAGAAGCGCCGGCUAACUACGUGCCAGCAGCCGCGGUAAUACGUAGGGCGCAAGCGUUAUCCGGAAUUAUUGGGCGUAAAGAGCUCGUAGGCGGUUUGUCGCGUCUGCCGUGAAAGUCCGGGGCUCAACUCCGGAUCUGCGGUGGGUACGGGCAGACUAGAGUGAUGUAGGGGAGACUGGAAUUCCUGGUGUAGCGGUGAAAUGCGCAGAUAUCAGGAGGAACACCGAUGGCGAAGGCAGGUCUCUGGGCAUUAACUGACGCUGAGGAGCGAAAGCAUGGGGAGCGAACAGGAUUAGAUACCCUGGUAGUCCAUGCC